RNAcentral lists this small RNA (394 nucleotides) under Pan troglodytes (chimpanzee). RNAcentral's name for it is "retained intron". Lineage: Eukaryota; Metazoa; Chordata; Mammalia; Primates; Hominidae. The record is from RNAcentral.
GCCUGAUCCGGAACCCACAGAGGAAGACAUUGAAAAGAAUCCAGAGCUGAAAAAGCUACAGAUCUAUGGGGCAGGCCCCAAGAUGAUGGGCCUGGGCCUCAUGGCCAAAGACAAGACUCUGCGGAAGAAAGAUAAGGAGGGGCCUGAGUGUCCCCCCACAGUAGUGGUGAAGGAGGAGUUAGGUGGGGAUGUGAAGGUGGAGUCAACAUCGCCUAAGACCUUCCUGGAGAGCAAGGAGGAGCUGAGUCACAGCCCAGAACCCUGCACCAAGAUGACCAUGAGGCUACGGAGGAACCACAGCAAUGCCCAGUUUGUAAGGACCCAGCCCUGACUUCUUAAUGCUCUGCUUCUUGUCCCUUCAAUAAGCAUUCCCCUGCAUGGCACUGGACCAGGU